AAAAACACUUUAUUUCUAAUUGAGGAGAUUAAAUCAUUUCUGAAAUGUAUUCAUACUAUAGCUGAGUUAAUUAUUUGAACCACAGUCUAAAGAAAUUAAGAGUGCCAAACAUGCAGGAGGUUUUUGUACGAGCAGCAAUAGGGAUUUUAUCACUGUGGUACACUUUUGGUAGCGGCACCAGACUCGAUGUUGGAAGUAACAGUUCCCCCACCCUCACCGUCCUGCCCCCCUCUAGUGAGGAGCUGUCCAGUACAACAACAGCCACACUGACGUGUCUGGCCAACAAGGGCUUCCCCUCAGACUGGACCAUGAGCUGGAAAGUGGACGGGACCAGCAAGAAACAGGAGGCUAAUCCCGGGAUCCUGGAGAAGGAUGGCCUGUACAGCUGGAGCAGCACCCUGACUCUCACUGGCCAGGAGUGGACCAAGGCAGGAGAGGUGACCUGUGAAGCCCAGCAGAAAUCCCAGACUCCAGUCACCAAGACCCUGAGGAGGGCUGACUGUUCUGGGUAGAACCCCUCAGUCACACACCCCUGUGGAGAGAGGCUGCUGGUUCCUCUGCUUUGACUCUGUUCUGAGAUCAGAUGUUCUCUGUCUUAUUGAUCACUGACAUGUAGACUAACAGGGGGCUUUGCUUGAGUUCAUGUGCCAAUCCUCUCUGUAGACUGAGAUUGAAUCAGUGUUAGAUGUGAUGUGUUCUGUUUUAUUACUAUUAGAUACUGUAGGAAUGUUUGCUUUGAUGCUUUGAUGAAUAGAUGAAAAUAAAGACUUCUCUUAGAAACAAA
Molecule: non-coding RNA, 784 nt
Organism: Salvelinus fontinalis (brook trout)
Lineage: Eukaryota; Metazoa; Chordata; Actinopteri; Salmoniformes; Salmonidae
Source: the annotation of a RefSeq genome assembly